RNAcentral lists this long non-coding RNA (1828 nucleotides) under Erythranthe guttata (spotted monkey flower). Its description in RNAcentral is "long non-coding RNA (EGUT_LNC003754)". The record is from RNAcentral. Lineage: Eukaryota; Viridiplantae; Streptophyta; Magnoliopsida; Lamiales; Phrymaceae.
AAAUUAAGAGCCAACACUAUCCACAACCCCUCCAUACGAUCCCCAUCCGAUUCUCGAGCUCGAUUCCCAACUUCACUCCUCGGGCCCUAAAUCGGGUAUACCUACAAACAUACAACACCUAUAUGAGUCUUUGAGGACUCAAUGAGAAUCUUGAAGUAAUAUCGAAUACACAUAGCACAUAGAGCAUACAUAUAUCUAUAUAUAUAUAUACAUACAUAUAUCUUAUACAUGAACAUACAACAUGAAGUAAAACAAUCAUAUACUUCCCUUUUUCGUCGGCGAUCUUCAUUCACAUAAUUGUCACCACGCAUAGAGUGAGAUAAUUCCCACCUUUAUAACCCUAUGAUCCCAAGACCAUAGAGUGAGAAUAUCCCACCUUUAUAACCCUAUGCCAUGACACGUAUUGAAGAAUAUAGAAGGAGUUUUCCACCUUUAUAACCCUACGGUCCCAAGACCAUAGAGUGAGAUUUUCCCACCUAUAUCAACAACACCGAAAUGCACAUGCAUGACAUGAAAAAUUGUCGGGAAUCCCUCGGAAGAGCCAAUCUAAGUUACCGGUAAAAAUCACCAUAUAUUUCGAUCCAUGUCUAACUACGUGGGAUCAAACCACCCCUAGGCCCUACGGUACCAGGCUCGCCGUACCCGAGAAAUUUACCGUAACUUCGAAAGACUUUCCAACAUAGUUUUAUCUUUUUGAAAAUUCAUGACACUUUAUGCACCCACCCAUGCACCCUUCUACUUACCCUUCUCUCAUCCUCACACCCAAUGAUUCACAUAAGCAAGCAAGAGCACAUAGGAGCACAUAGAAAACACAUACAAAGUUUCACAAAAUCAUUUAGCCAUAAAAACAUAGAAAUAACCGAAACCUUAACAUGCAAAAACAAUCUAACAACAAAGUUCACUAGAUCUAGUAUUUUACAAGAAUAAAAUUCAAGACUUUCAUCUUCACUUUUAUUCAAGCAAAUACACUAGAUCUUCACAUGCAAGAGUAUUUUAAAUCGAAUUAGCACAACUCUUAGUUCUUAAACCAUUUUCAUAGAAAACACUAGAUCUUAACAUGCAAGACUUUAGAUCAACCAUUAAUCACUAGAUCUUAUCAUGCAAGACCUUAAAUCAACAAUUAAUCUCCAAUCUUAACAUGCAAGACCUUAAAACAACAAUCAAUCACAAGAUCAACACAUACAAAGUAGCAAUCAAACCAAAUAAACCAUUUUAAGCAUUUUACCUCAAAAAUUCGAAAGUUCUUUAGUCAAGUCAAAAAUUCAUUUUCUCUUCAAAAAUCAACAAUCAAACACUAGAUUAACACAUGCAAGACACUAAUUAAACCAAAUAAGCCUUUUAAAACAUUUUUUCCCCAAAAAUCCGAAAGUUUCAUGGCUAGGCCAAAAAUUCAUCUUCUUUUCAAAAAUCAACAAUCAAACACUAGAUCAACACAUGCAAAGUACUAAUUAAGCAAAAUAAGCCAUUUAAAACAUUUUUCCCCAAUUUUUCGAAAAAUCAUAAAUUUUCAAGAAUAAAGCUAUCUUUUCAAAAUACUAACAUGCAAUCAUCAUCUAAAACUCAUAAUCACAUAAUAUGCAAGAAUCAACAAUAAAAACACAUAAAAACACAUAAAAACCGAAAAUACUAGUGGUGUUGUAGGUUUGAGCAAGAAUUCAAGAAUUCUCACCUAUACUCUUUAGGGGAAGGGCUUGUUAGCUCUUUUCUCUUCCUAAGCUUGGCCGAAAAUUCUCCUCUUGUUGAAAUAGAAGGAGACUUUGAACUUAAGUAUUGUAAGAGUGGAGUUUGAGAGUGAGUUUUGAUCUUGGGCAUGAGUGGUAUUUAUAGA